CCUGGGAACUGCGUUNUGAACUGGGUGACUAGAGUGUGUCAGAGGGAGGUAGAAUUCCACGUGUAGCAGUGAAAUGCGUAGAGAUGUGGAGGAAUACCGAUGGCGAAGGCAGCCUCCUGGGAUAACACUGACGUUCAUGCCCGAAAGCGUGGGUAGCAAACAGGAUUAGAUACCCUGGUAGUCCACGCCCUAAACGAUGUCGAUUAGCUGUUGGGCAGCAUGACUGCUUAGUAGCGAAGCUAACGCGUGAAAUCGACCGCCUGGGGAGUACGGUCGCAAGAUUAAAACUCAAAGGAAUUGACGGGGACCCGCACAAGCGGUGGAUGAUGUGGAUUAAUUCGAUGCAACGCGAAGAACCUUACCUGGUCUUGACAUGUACGGAACCCUCCAGAGACGGAGGGGUGCCUUCGGGAGCCGUAACACAGGUGCUGCAUGGCUGUCGUCGGCUCGUGUCGUGAGAUGUUGGGUUAAGUCCCGCAACGAGCGCAACCCUUGUCAUUAGUUGCCAUCAUUAAGUUGAGCACUCUAAUGAGACUGCCGGUGACAAGCCGGAGGAAGGUGGGGAUGACGUCAAGUCCUCAUGGCCCUUAUGACCAGGGCUUCACACGUCAUACAAUGGUCGGUACAGAGGGUAGCCAAGCCGCGAGGUGGAGCCAAUCUCACAAAACCGAUCGUAGUCCGGAUUGCACUCUGCAACUCGAGUGCAUGAAGUCGGAAUCGCUAGUAAUCGCAGGUCAGCAUACUGCGGUGAACACGUUCCCGGGUCUUGUACACACCGCCCGUCACACCAUGGGAGUGGGGGAUACCAGAAGUAGG
Molecule: ribosomal RNA, 816 nt
Filed under: uncultured bacterium
Lineage: Bacteria
Description: bacterial SSU rRNA
Rfam family: Bacterial small subunit ribosomal RNA
Source: RNAcentral